RNAcentral lists this ribosomal RNA (492 nucleotides) under uncultured bacterium. RNAcentral's name for it is "partial 16S ribosomal RNA". It matches the Rfam family "Bacterial small subunit ribosomal RNA", at positions 28 to 507 of the family's 1533-position model. The record is from RNAcentral.
GAUGAACGCUAGCUACAGGCUUAACACAUGCAAGUCGAGAGGAAACGACAUCGAAAGCUUGCUUUUGAUGGGCGUCGACCGGCGCACGGGUGAGUAACGCGUAUCCAUCCUGCCCACCACUUGGUUAUAACCUUGCGAAAGUAAGACUAAUACCCAAUGACGUCUCUAGAAGACAUCUGAAAGAGAUUAAAGAUUUAUCGGUGCUGGAUGGAGAUGCGUCUGAUUAGCUUGUUGGCGGGGUAACGGCCCACCAAGGCGACGAUCAGUAGGGGUUCUGAGAGUAAGGACCCAAACAUUGGAACUGAGACAAGGUCCAAACACAUAAGAGAAGCAGCAGUGAGGAAUACUGGACAAUGGACGAGAGGCUGAACCAGACAAGUAGCGUGCAGGAUGACGGCACUAUGGGUAGUAAACUGAAAUUAUAAGAGAAUAAAGUGAAUCUCGUGAGAAUUUUUGCAUGUACCUUAUGAAUAAGGACAGGAUAAUACAGUG